GCGGGUGUAGCUCAGUGGUAGAGCGCGACCUUGCCAAGGUCGAUGUCGACAGUUCGAAUCUGUUCACCCGCUCCA
RNAcentral lists this transfer RNA (75 nucleotides) under Rubritalea profundi. RNAcentral's name for it is "tRNA-Gly". It matches the Rfam family "tRNA". Rfam says of the family: Transfer RNA (tRNA) molecules are approximately 80 nucleotides in length. Their secondary structure includes four short double-helical elements and three loops (D, anti-codon, and T loops). Further hydrogen bonds mediate the characteristic L-shaped molecular structure. tRNAs have two regions of fundamental functional importance: the anti-codon, which is responsible for specific mRNA codon recognition, and the 3' end, to which the tRNAs corresponding amino acid is attached (by aminoacyl-tRNA synthetases). tRNAs cope with the degeneracy of the genetic code in two manners: having more than one tRNA (with a specific anti-codon) for a particular amino acid; and 'wobble' base-pairing, i.e. permitting non-standard base-pairing at the 3rd anti-codon position. The record is from RNAcentral. Lineage: Bacteria; Pseudomonadati; Verrucomicrobiota; Verrucomicrobiia; Verrucomicrobiales; Rubritaleaceae. RNAcentral also lists the same sequence under 2 other names.